Long non-coding RNA from Bufo gargarizans (Asiatic toad), 412 nucleotides. RefSeq lists it as uncharacterized. Lineage: Eukaryota; Metazoa; Chordata; Amphibia; Anura; Bufonidae. The transcript has 3 exons. The record is from RefSeq and is a predicted model, not a curated record.
GCCAAGCAAGUUUAGAUCUUGGGAGUUGUAGUUUUACCACAGCUGGAGUGCCAGAGGUUAGCCAUCACAAGCCUAGACCAUGUGACCAAUGAAUGUGACGUCACUGUCCCAGGAAGAGGCCAUGGCACUUAGGCAGCACUACAGUCCCUUUUAAUUGUCAGGGGUGCCGGGAGUCGGACCUCCACCGAUCAGGUAUUGAUGGUCUACCCUGAGAUAGGUCAUCAAUAUUAAAGGCCCGUUUAAAGAGGAUCUGUCGCCUCUCCUGAAUUGUCCAUUUUAGUAAAUCCUUGUGUUCAAACUGUGCUGCUCCUCUGUUAUUCUUCCUGCAAAUUUUAAAACCCAGCUGUCAACUUGUUUGCCAGUAGGACAUGUACAGAGCCUGACACAGUUAGGCUACUUUCACACCUGCGUU